GAGGCGCCGCGCGCAGGCGCGGAGAGAACUAAGUGGUUGACGCUUUCUGGGAGGGCUGCUGUACGACCGUUCUGGAGGCUGGAAGGCCGAAAUAAAGGUGUCAGCAGGAUCCUCUGAGACUAGAUUCUUUUCCACUGUAGGUUAUUACAAGAUAUUGAAUAUAGUUCUCUGUGCUAUACAGUAGGUCCUUGUUGUUUAUCUAUUUUAUAUAUAGUAGCAGUGUGUAUGUUAAUCCCAACCUCCUAAUAUAUCCUUCCCCCCAUUUCCCCUUUGGUAAUCUAAAUUUGUUUUCUAUGUCUGUGUCUAUUUCUCUUUUGUGAAUAAGUUCAUUUGUAUCAGUUUUUUAGAUUCCACAUAUAAGUGAUAUCAUAUGAUAUUUGUCUUUCUCUGCCUGACUGACUUCACUUAGUAUGAUAAUCUCUAAGUCUAUCCAUGUUGCUGCCACACAUGGCGUUAUUUCAUUCUUUUUUAUGGCUGAGUAAUAGUCCAUAGAUAUGUGUGUGUGUGUGUGUGUGUGUGUGUGUGUGUGUGUGUGUGUAUGUAUAUAUAUGCCACAUCUUCUUUAUCCAUUCAUCUGUCAACGGGCAUUUAGGUUGCUUCCAUGUCUUGGGUAUUAUAAAUAGUGCUGCUGUGAACAUUGGGGUGCAUGUAUCUUUUAGAAUUGGAGUUUUUUACUUUUCUGGAUAUAUGCCCAGGAGUGCUGGAUCAUAUGGUAACUCUAUUUUUAGUUUAUUUAUUUAUUUUUUUGUGGUAUGUGGACCUCUCACUGCUGUGGCCUCUCCCGUUGCAGAGCACAGGCUCCGGAUGCGCAGGCUCAGCGGCCAUGGCUCACGGGCCCAGCCGCUCUGCGGCACGUGGGAUCCUCCCGGACCGGGGCACGAACCCGUGUCCCCUGC
This is a long non-coding RNA of Physeter macrocephalus (sperm whale), 896 nucleotides long. RefSeq lists it as uncharacterized. Lineage: Eukaryota; Metazoa; Chordata; Mammalia; Artiodactyla; Physeteridae. The transcript has 3 exons. The record is from RefSeq and is a predicted model, not a curated record.